This is a non-coding RNA of Bombyx mori (domestic silkworm), 58 nucleotides long. The record is from Rfam. Lineage: Eukaryota; Metazoa; Arthropoda; Insecta; Lepidoptera; Bombycidae.
CGCGUGGUAUUAUUCUUGUGAAUGUGUUUUAGCUACAAUCACAGGAUAAUACUGCGAG